GACGAACGCUGGCGGCGUGCUUAACACAUGCAAGUCGAACGGAAAGGCCCUGCUUUUGUGGGGUGCUCGAGUGGCGAACGGGUGAGUAACACGUGAGUAACCUGCCCUUGACUUUGGGAUAACUUCAGGAAACUGGGGCUAAUACCGGAUAGGAGCUCCUGCUGCAUGGUGGGGGUUGGAAAGUUUCGGCGGUUGGGGAUGGACUCGCGGCUUAUCAGCUUGUUGGUGGGGUAGUGGCUUACCAAGGCUUUGACGGGUAGCCGGCCUGAGAGGGUGACCGGCACAAUGGGGCCUGAGAUACGGCCCAGACUCCUACGGGAGGCAGCGGUGGGGAAUAUGCACAAUGGGCGGAAGCCUGAUGCAGCAACGCCGCGUGCGGGAUGACGGCCUUCGGGUUGUAAACCGCUUUCGCCUGUGACGAAGCGUGAGUGACGGUAAUGGGUAAAGAAGCACCGGCUAACUACGUG
RNAcentral lists this ribosomal RNA (467 nucleotides) under uncultured bacterium. RNAcentral describes it as "partial 16S ribosomal RNA". It matches the Rfam family "Bacterial small subunit ribosomal RNA", at positions 28 to 507 of the family's 1533-position model. The record is from RNAcentral.